GCGACGAUCAGUAGCUGGUCUGAGAGGAUGAUCAGCCACAUUGGGACUGAGACACGGCCCAAACUCCUACGGGAGGCAGCAGUGGGGAAUAUUGGACAAUGGGCGAAAGCCUGAUCCAGCCAUGCCGCGUGCAGGAUGAAGCAUCUAUGGUGUGUAAACUGCUUUUGUACGAGAAGAAACACUCCUACGUGUAGGAGCUUGACGGUAUCGUAAGAAUAAGGACCGGCUAACUCCGUGCCAGCAGCCGCGGUAAUACGGAGGGUCCAAGCGUUAUCCGGAAUCAUUGGGUUUAAAGGGUCCGUAGGCGGUUUAGUAAGUCAGUGGUGAAAGCCCAUCGCUCAACGGUGGAACGGCCAUUGAUACUGCUAAACUUGAAUUAUUAGGAAGUAACUAGAAUAUGUAGUGUAGCGGUGAAAUGCUUAGAUAUUACAUGGAAUACCAAUUGCGAAGGCAGGUUACUACUAAUGGAUUGACGCUGAUGGACGAAAGCGUGGGGAGCGAACAGGAUUAGAUACCCUGGUAGUCCACGCCGUAAACGAUGGAUACUAGCUGUUCGGAGCAAUCUGAGUGGCUAAGCGAAAGUGAUAAGUAUCCCACCUGGGGAGUACGUUCCCAAGAAUGAAACUCAAUUGAAUUGACGG
RNAcentral lists this ribosomal RNA (641 nucleotides) under uncultured bacterium. Its description in RNAcentral is "bacterial SSU rRNA". It matches the Rfam family "Bacterial small subunit ribosomal RNA", at positions 273 to 916 of the family's 1533-position model. The record is from RNAcentral.